GGUUUCCGUAGGUGAACCUGCGGAAGGAUCAUUAUUGAAUAAGCUUGGUUGGGUUGUUGCUGGCUCUUCGGAGCAUGUGCACGCCUAACACCAACCUUUUACCACCUGUGCACCUUUUGUAGACCUGGAUAUCUCUCGAGGAAACUCGGUUUUGAGGACUGCUGUGCGCAAGCCGGCUUUUCCUUACACUUCCGGUCUAUGUUUUACACACCCCAGUAUGUUUAAGAAUGUUAUCAAUGGGCUUAAUUGCCUUUAAACCUUAUACAACUUUCAACAACGGAUCUCUUGGCUCUCGCAUCGAUGAAGAACGCAGCGAAAUGCGAUAAGUAAUGUGAAUUGCAGAAUUCAGUGAAUCAUCGAAUCUUUGAACGCACCUUGCGCUCCUUGGUAUUCCGAGGAGCAUGCCUGUUUGAGUGUCAUGAAAUUCUCAACCUUAUCAGCUUUUUUGUUGACUAGGCUUGGAUGUGGGAGUUUGCGGGCUUCUCAGAAGUCGGCUCUCCUUAAAUGCAUUAGCGGGACCCUUGUUGCCUAGCUUUGGUGUGAUAAUUAUCUACGCCAUUGUCUUAUACAUGGGGUACAGCUUCUAACCGUCUCUCUAGGGACAACUUCUGACAAUUUGACCUCAAAUCAGGUAGGACUACCCGC
RNAcentral lists this ribosomal RNA (645 nucleotides) under Tricholoma psammopus. Its description in RNAcentral is "eukaryotic LSU rRNA". The stretch from base 266 to 419 matches the Rfam family "5.8S ribosomal RNA". Lineage: Eukaryota; Fungi; Basidiomycota; Agaricomycetes; Agaricales; Tricholomataceae. The record is from RNAcentral.